CAAAUCAGGUAGGACUACCCGCUGAACUUAAGCAUAUCAAUAAGCGGAGGAAAAGAAACUAACAAGGAUUCCCCUAGUAACUGCGAGUGAAGCGGGAAAAGCUCAAAUUUAAAAUCUGGCGGUCUUUGGCCGUCCGAGUUGUAAUCUAGAGAAGUGUUACCCGCGUCGGACCGUGUACAAGUCUCCUGGAAUGGAGCGUCAUAGAGGGUGAGAAUCCCGUCUUUGACACGGACUACCGAGGCUUUGUGGUGCGCUCUCAAAGAGUCGAGUUGUUUGGGAAUGCAGCUCAAAAUGGGUGGUAAAUUCCAUCUAAAGCUAAAUAUUGGCGAGAGACCGAUAGCGAACAAGUACCGUGAGGGAAAGAUGAAAAGAACUUUGGAAAGAGAGUUAAACAGUACGUGAAAUUGCUAAAAGGGAAACGCUUGAAGUCAGUCGCGUUGGCCGGGAAUCAGCCUUCCUCUUGGUUGGUGUACUUCCUGGUUGACGGGCCAGCAUCAGUUUUGACCGGUGGAAAAAGUUCAGAGGAAUGUGGCACCUUCGGGUGUGUUAUAGCCUCUGUUCGUAUACACCGGUUGGGACUGAGGAACUCAGCACGCCGCAAGGCCGGGAUUCGUCCACGUUCGUGCUUAGGAUGCUGGCAUAAUGGCUUUAAUCGACCCGUCUUGAAACACGGACCAAGGAGUCUAACAUGCCUGCGAGUGUUUGGGUGGAAAACCCGAGCGCGUAAUGAAAGUGAAAGUUGAGAUCCCUGUCAUGGGGAGCAUCGACGCCCGGACCUGACGUUCUCUGACGGUUCUGCGGUAGAGCAUGUAUGUUGGGACCCGAAAGAUGGUGAACUAUGCCUGAAUAGGGUGAAGCC
Molecule: ribosomal RNA, 859 nt
Filed under: Coprinellus heptemerus
Lineage: Eukaryota; Fungi; Basidiomycota; Agaricomycetes; Agaricales; Psathyrellaceae
Description: eukaryotic LSU rRNA
Rfam family: Eukaryotic large subunit ribosomal RNA
Source: RNAcentral